Molecule: non-coding RNA, 665 nt
Organism: Arachis ipaensis
Lineage: Eukaryota; Viridiplantae; Streptophyta; Magnoliopsida; Fabales; Fabaceae
Source: RefSeq, a predicted model, not a curated record
AUUUACCAAAUUUUCCUUAAUUUUCUUUUUGUUCUUCAAUCAUCUAGCAUUUUCAUUUUUUGUGCAAGAUUUGAAAUUUUCUGCACAUCUCAGUGUUCUUAUCUUUCCCCCUUUAAAUCAUUGCUGCAGAGAAAGAUAUCAAAAUUACUGCUUUUGAUAAUUCUCAAUGAUACAGUGGAUUCUUUUAUGGUGCUGAUAACUCUAGUUAUAAUAGAACUUACUAUCAGGAGUCAAUAUAUGCUCAAGCGCCACAUAGAAUUUCUGGUGUUCAAUAUUCUGAAAACUAUCAACACCAAUUUGAUCCUAGAUAUGGAAGAGGAUAUGGUGUUCCUACACCACACCAACAAUCUCAACAGCCUAAUUUUAUGUGUUCCACCACAGACUGCUCAGAUUGUGAUGGAGACCAAAUGUUAUUGAAUGCAUUUUUUACUUCUUUGGUACCACUAUCUUUUGUCAAAUUUGGUCUAAAGCAUUAGAAGAUUUCAUAGAGUGAUCAUUGCCUCGACAUUGAUGUUAUAGAUAAUCUCUGAUUUAUUCCAUCAUUAUUUUCUUGUUGUGCUUAGUUUGUGACAUGCUGUGAUUUUUAGGAUCUUUUGGUUUUGAAGUAUGGAAACAAAAAAAGUGAUUCACUGGUGUAAUAAGGAUAGUCUCACAAUCUGAAUUAU